Molecule: ribosomal RNA, 253 nt
Filed under: uncultured bacterium
Lineage: Bacteria
Description: partial 16S ribosomal RNA
Rfam family: Bacterial small subunit ribosomal RNA
Source: RNAcentral
UACAGAGGGGGCAAGCGUUAUUCGGCAUUAUUGGGCGUAAAGGGCGCGUAGGCGGCCUGGCAAGUGGAAGGUGAAAUCCCUCGGCUUAACCGAGGAACUGCCUCCCAAACUGCUUGGCUUGAGACCGGGAGAGGUGAGUGGAAUUCCCAGUGUAGCGGUGAAAUGCGUAGAUAUUGGGAGGAACACCAGUGGCGAAGGCGGCUCACUGGACCGGUACUGACGCUGAUGCGCGAAAGCGUGGGGAGCAAACGGG